Molecule: long non-coding RNA, 207 nt
Filed under: Homo sapiens (human)
Lineage: Eukaryota; Metazoa; Chordata; Mammalia; Primates; Hominidae
Description: non-protein coding lnc-ZNF568-4:1
Source: RNAcentral
UCUCAAAAAGGGAAAAAAAAAGGAUUUCUAUACAUCCACAAUAAUGAAUUAGCUGAAAAAGAAAUCAAGAAAACAAUCCCAUUUAUUAAUAUAAUAGCUACAAAAAACAACCUAGAAAUAAAAAAAGAAAUAAAGAUGGAGAAGAUGAAGCUUCAGCCACAGCCCAUUGGAGCUGCCCACUUCCAACUCUUCCAUUCUAUUUUAACU